Molecule: small nuclear RNA, 116 nt
Organism: Callithrix jacchus (white-tufted-ear marmoset)
Lineage: Eukaryota; Metazoa; Chordata; Mammalia; Primates; Cebidae
Gene: U5
Rfam family: U5 spliceosomal RNA
About the family: U5 RNA is a component of both types of known spliceosome. The precise function of this molecule is unknown, though it is known that the 5' loop is required for splice site selection and p220 binding, and that both the 3' stem-loop and the Sm site are important for Sm protein binding and cap methylation.
Source: Ensembl
AUACUCUGGUUUCUCUUCAAAUUGUAUAAAUCUUUUGCCUUUUACUAAAGAUUUCUGUAGAGAGGAACAAUUCUGAGUCUUAAUCCAAUUUUUUGAGGUCCUGUUUCUAUGGGGCU